RNAcentral lists this ribosomal RNA (424 nucleotides) under Verrucomicrobiota bacterium. RNAcentral describes it as "Verrucomicrobia bacterium partial 16S ribosomal RNA". It matches the Rfam family "Bacterial small subunit ribosomal RNA", at positions 355 to 776 of the family's 1533-position model. Lineage: Bacteria; Pseudomonadati; Verrucomicrobiota. The record is from RNAcentral.
UGAGGAAUAUUGGUCAAUGGGCGAGAGCCUGAACCAGCCAAGUAGCGUGCAGGAUGACGGCCCUAUGGGUUGUAAACUGCUUUUAUAUGGGAAUAAAGUGAGGGACGUGUCCCUUAUUGCAUGUACCAUACGAAUAAGGACCGGCUAAUUCCGUGCCAGCAGCCGCGGUAAUACGGAAGGUCCAGGCGUUAUCCGGAUUUAUUGGGUUUAAAGGGAGCGUAGGCUGUUUGUUAAGCGUGUUGUGAAAUGUAAGAGCUCAACUUUUAGAUUGCAGCGCGAACUGGCAGACUUGAGUGCGCACAACGUAGGCGGAAUUCAUGGUGUAGCGGUGAAAUGCUUAGAUAUCAUGACGAACUCCGAUUGCGAAGGCAGCUUACGGGAGCGCAUCUGACGCUAAAGCUCGAAGGUGCGGGUAUCGAACAGG